CCUGGCUCAGAUUGAACGCUGGCGGCAUGCCUAACACAUGCAAGUCGAACGGCAGCAUGGUCUAGUUUACUAGACUGAUGGCGAGUGGCGGACGGGUGAGUAACGCGUAGGAAUAUGCCUUAAAGAGGGGGAUAACUUGGGGAAACUCAAGCUAAUACCGCGUAAGCUCUUAGGAGGAAAGCUGGGGACCUUCGGGCCUGGCGCUUUAAGAUUAGCCU
This 218-nucleotide ribosomal RNA is filed under the name uncultured bacterium. RNAcentral's name for it is "partial 16S ribosomal RNA". It matches the Rfam family "Bacterial small subunit ribosomal RNA", at positions 18 to 232 of the family's 1533-position model. The record is from RNAcentral.